UCGGACGGCCGGGCGGCCGCGGGCCGCGGCCUUGGGGUCGCUGCUCGAGGAAAGUCCGGGCUCCACGGAGACAGGGCGCCGGGUAACGCCCGGCCGGUCCGCCCUUCGGGGCGGGCCGAGGGAAAGCGCCACAGAGAUCGAACCGCCCCGGCUCGCCGGGGCAAGGGUGAAAAGGUGCGGUAAGAGCGCACCGGCGGCUCAGCAAUGAGCCGCGCAUGGCAAGCCCCGCCCGGAGCAAGACCGCGUAGGGACCGCGCGCCGAAAGGCAGGGGCGUCUCCGCCCCGAGCGGUCCGGGUUGGUCGCUAGAGGCCGCGCGCAAGCGCGCGCCCCAGAGGAAUGGCCGCCCCCUCGCGAGAGGGACAGAACCCGGCUUACAGGCCGUCCGACGCU
Molecule: RNase P RNA, 391 nt
Filed under: Amphiplicatus metriothermophilus
Lineage: Bacteria; Pseudomonadati; Pseudomonadota; Alphaproteobacteria; Parvularculales; Parvularculaceae
Description: Bacterial RNase P class A
Rfam family: Bacterial RNase P class A
About the family: Ribonuclease P (RNase P) is a ubiquitous endoribonuclease, found in archaea, bacteria and eukarya as well as chloroplasts and mitochondria. Its best characterised activity is the generation of mature 5'-ends of tRNAs by cleaving the 5'-leader elements of precursor-tRNAs.
Source: Rfam by way of RNAcentral